RNAcentral lists this ribosomal RNA (1333 nucleotides) under Escherichia coli. Its description in RNAcentral is "partial 23S ribosomal RNA". It matches the Rfam family "Bacterial large subunit ribosomal RNA", at positions 1531 to 2839 of the family's 2925-position model. RNAcentral also lists the same sequence under 2 other names. Lineage: Bacteria; Pseudomonadati; Pseudomonadota; Gammaproteobacteria; Enterobacterales; Enterobacteriaceae. The record is from RNAcentral.
UCCAGGCAAAUCCGGAUAAUCAAGGCUGAGGUGUGAUGACGAGGCACUACGGUGCUGAAGUAACAAAUGCCCUGCUUCCAGGAAAAGCCUCUAAGCAUCAGGUAACAUCAAAUCGUACCCCAAACCGACACAGGUGGUCAGGUAGAGAAUACCAAGGCGCUUGAGAGAACUCGGGUGAAGGAACUAGGCAAAAUGGUGCCGUAACUUCGGGAGAAGGCACGCUGGUGUGUAGGUGAAGUCCCUGCGGAUGGAGCUGAGACCAGUCGAAGAUACCAGCUGGCUGCAACUGUUUAUUAAAAACACAGCACUGUGCAAACACGAAAGUGGACGUAUACGGUGUGACGCCUGCCCGGUGCCGGAAGGUUAAUUGAUGGGGUUAUCCGUAAGGAGAAGCUCUUGAUCGAAGCCCCGGUAAACGGCGGCCGUAACUAUAACGGUCCUAAGGUAGCGAAAUUCCUUGUCGGGUAAGUUCCGACCUGCACGAAUGGCGUAAUGAUGGCCAGGCUGUCUCCACCCGAGACUCAGUGAAAUUGAACUCGCUGUGAAGAUGCAGUGUACCCGCGGCAAGACGGAAAGACCCCGUGAACCUUUACUAUAGCUUGACACUGAACAUUGAGCCUUGAUGUGUAGGAUAGGUGGGAGGCUUUGAAGCGUGGACGCCAGUCUGCGUGGAGCCAACCUUGAAAUACCACCCUUUAAUGUUUGAUGUUCUAACGUUGGCCCCUUACCGGGGUUGCGGACAGUGUCUGGUGGGUAGUUUGACUGGGGCGGUCUCCUCCCAAAGCGUAACGGAGGAGCACGAAGGUUAGCUAAUCCUGGUCGGACAUCAGGAGGUUAGUGCAAUGGCAUAAGCUAGCUUGACUGCGAGCGUGACGGCGCGAGCAGGUGCGAAAGCAGGUCAUAGUGAUCCGGUGGUUCUGAAUGGAAGGGCCAUCGCUCAACGGAUAAAAGGUACUCCGGGGAUAACAGGCUGAUACCGCCCAAGAGUUCAUAUCGACGGCGGUGUUUGGCACCUCGAUGUCGGCUCAUCACAUCCUGGGGCUGAAGUAGGUCCCAAGGGUAUGGCUGUUCGCCAUUUAAAGUGGUACGCGAGCUGGGUUUAGAACGUCGUGAGACAGUUCGGUCCCUAUCUGCCGUGGGCGCUGGAGAAUUGAGGGGGGCUGCUCCUAGUACGAGAGGACCGGAGUGGACGCAUCACUGGUGUUCGGGUUGUCAUGCCAAUGGCACUGCCCGGUAGCUAAAUGCGGAAGAGAUAAGUGCUGAAAGCAUCUAAGCACGAAACUUGCCCCGAGAUGAGUUCUCCCUGAGACUUUAAGUCUCCUGAAGGAACGUU